This 253-nucleotide ribosomal RNA is filed under the name uncultured bacterium. RNAcentral describes it as "partial 16S ribosomal RNA". It matches the Rfam family "Bacterial small subunit ribosomal RNA", at positions 524 to 776 of the family's 1533-position model. The record is from RNAcentral.
UACAGAGGGGGCAAGCGUUGUUCGGAAUUACUGGGCGUAAAGGGCGCGUAGGCGGCCGCCUAAGUCAGACGUGAAAUCCCCAAGCUUAACUUGGGAACUGCGUCUGAUACUGGGUGGCUUGAGUUCGGGAGAGGAAUGUGGAAUUCCAGGUGUAGCGGUGAAAUGCGUAGAUAUCUGGAGGAACACCGGUGGCGAAGGCGGCAUUCUGGACCGAAACUGACGCUGAGGCGCGAAAGCCAGGGGAGCAAACGGG